RNAcentral lists this ribosomal RNA (460 nucleotides) under uncultured bacterium. RNAcentral describes it as "partial 16S ribosomal RNA". It matches the Rfam family "Bacterial small subunit ribosomal RNA", at positions 338 to 795 of the family's 1533-position model. The record is from RNAcentral.
CCUACGGGUGGCAGCAGUGAGGAAUAUUGGUCAAUGGACGAGAGUCUGAACCAGCCAAGUAGCGUGAAGGAUGACUGCCCUAUGGGUUGUAAACUUCUUUUAUAUGGGAAUAAAAUGUUCCACGUGUGGGAUUAUGUAUGUACCAUAUGAAUAAGGAUCGGCUAACCUCGUGCCAGCAGCCGCGGUAAUACGGAGGAUCCGAGCGUUAUCCGGAUUUAAUGGGUUUAAAGGGAGCGUAGGUGGAUUGUUAAGUCAGUUGUGAAAGUUUGCGGCUCAACCGUAAAAUUGCAGUUGAAACUGGCAGUCUUGAGUACAGUAGAGGUGUGCGGAAUUCGUGGUGUAGCGGUGAAAUGCUUAGAUAUCACGAAGAACUCCGAUUGCGAAGGCAGCUCACUGGACUGCAACUGACACUGAGGCUCGAAAGUGUGGGUAUCAAACAGGAUUAGAUACCCCAGUAGUC